AACGCACAUUGCGCCCUCUGGUAUUCCGGGGGGCAUGCCUAUCCGAGCGUCAUUGCUGCCCUCAAGCACGGCUUGUGUGUUGGGCCCCCGUCCCGGUUCUCCAAGCCGGGACGGGCCCGAAAGGCAGCGGCGGCACCGUGUCCGGUCCUCGAGUGUAUGGGGCUCUGUCACUCACUCGUGUAGGUCCGGCCGGCGGCCAGCCUCUUCAACCAUUUUUUAACCAGGUUGACCUCGGAUCAGGUAGGGAUACCCGCUGAACUUAA
This 263-nucleotide unclassified non-coding RNA is filed under the name uncultured Eurotiales. RNAcentral describes it as "sequence contains 5.8S rRNA gene, ITS2, 28S rRNA gene". Lineage: Eukaryota; Fungi; Ascomycota; Eurotiomycetes; Eurotiales. The record is from RNAcentral.